Molecule: ribosomal RNA, 346 nt
Filed under: uncultured bacterium
Lineage: Bacteria
Description: partial 16S ribosomal RNA
Rfam family: Bacterial small subunit ribosomal RNA
Source: RNAcentral
CCUACGGGUGGCAGCAGUGAGGAAUAGUGGUCAAUGGACGAGAGUCGGAACCAGCGAAGUAGCGUGAAGGAUGACGGCCCUAUGGGGUGUAAACUUCUGUUAUAUGGGAAUAAAAUGUGGCACGUGUGGGAUUUUGUAUGUACCAUAUGAAUAAGGAUCGGCUAACUCCGUGCCAGCAGCCGCGGUAAUACGGAGGCGGCGAGGGUUAUCCGGAUUGAUUGGGUUUAAAGGGUGCGCAGGCGGGCCUUUAAGCCGGCGGGGAAACCGGGGGGCUCAACCCCGGCGCGCCGUCGGAACUGGGGGCCUUGAGUGCGGCAGAGGCAUGCGGAAUGCGCGGUGUAGCGGU